AGACGGGCGUCUUCCUCCUCCAGAUCCAGGGUCCUACCCCAUGGACUUUCAUGCAAGCGCAGGCCGAUGCAGGAGACAGGAUUAGCCAUGGGCAGUUGGGGCAUACUGCGGCGGCGCGACCUAUUGAGUCCUCGUAGGCUUCUAUUAGCAUCGCGGAGGGGGACAUUCGCCGUGUCAGAGACGUCUGCAGCGCCGGCGGCAAUGCGGGAUUUGUUGGUGAUGACCCGGUGUUGCAAGUGUGCUCUGAGGCUACGAGUGGUUGGACACGCAGAGUGAGGAACUGGAUAUUUGAUGUACCCAAGAAGAUGUACAUUCUCACUCAUGUGAUGCUUUGGCAUGUGAAAAAUGAAGCAAGGUUCAGAUAUGGGAGAUAUUACAAAAGUUCCAAGAAAGAUGCCCAAGUGUGGUAAAUGUGGAGUGAUCGGACAUCGUCAAAAUCAUGGGGCAAGCGUGCAGAUCCAUUUGAGCCUAAUUUCCUUAGCUUUUGACAUGGUCCCGUUUGAUUUGUGUUUUUAUUCAGACUUUGAUUCAAAAUGUAUUGUCAUUAUGCGAACUGA
Molecule: long non-coding RNA, 557 nt
Organism: Triticum dicoccoides
Lineage: Eukaryota; Viridiplantae; Streptophyta; Magnoliopsida; Poales; Poaceae
Exons: 3
Source: RefSeq, a predicted model, not a curated record